ACAUCUAUAUUUUUAAUACACGAAUGAAUAGAUUGCUCACCAUUGUUGUCUACUGCUGCUCGUGUAUUUAAAUCUCACGGACAGCGGCAAUACACAGAUAGAUCUGGAGAGAUGGCUUAGUGAAAACCCAUAUGUGGGAAGAUUUAGGCAGGGAGACGAGUGGCCUGGCGUUCUGGCAACCAGCUUACAAUGCUCCUCUGGAGUUGCCCAACAAUAAAGCCAGAAAGGAGGGGGGAGCAGGGAAGAGAUGGAUUUUGAAAAAAAGAGCACGCUUCCCGGCUACAAAUCAAUAGCAUUUGGCUCCCCCGCCCGGCAAAAGAAAAGAUGUACCACCCCUAGGCUGCUGGUUCAAUCAUUAAUGUGCGGUGAGGGAAAUUCAACCCCCAUCGGAAACCAGGAUGCUGGGGCUUUGCUGUUGCGCUCAUAUUCCUGAAACCACGCCCUGGAAUGGUGCUGUUUUGUCUCCGAAAGGACCGCCAUCAACCAUAAGGAGCAUUAGGCGCAGCAUCUGCCUGCUGGAAACUCUAGAAACUCAGCAAUCACACAUAUCUAGAAGUAAGCAAACCUUACUUACAGCUAUAUAUGGGAAGAGUCCCGUGGAUAGAAACUACAGCUGAGAAGACUCUUAAUAUAUGAACUAGCAAAACAUUAUAAUGUAAUGUAUGAUUACAUUAUAAUAAACAUCUGUUAGUUUUA
Long non-coding RNA from Lacerta agilis (Sand lizard), 696 nucleotides. RefSeq lists it as uncharacterized. Lineage: Eukaryota; Metazoa; Chordata; Lepidosauria; Squamata; Lacertidae. The transcript is spliced from 2 exons. The record is from RefSeq and is a predicted model, not a curated record.